AGUGUCAAAUCUAGCAAAGUGCCUCCGCCAAGAGCUUCCAUGUUACUUCCAUGGGAUUUCUCAGAUUAGUCUGCAGUCCCAAGGGUUAAAAGUAAAAUUGAAAUGAAGGAACCAAAUGAUGCGAUCUUCUUUGAAGAGAAGAUUGAACCAUGAUGCGGACCGUAUAGCUAUUUUUGCUACUGGGGAUAAUUUUUGGUUUCUGAUGGUUCCUCCCUUUUUAUAAUUUAGUUUUAUAAAGGAAAAGUAUUGACUGAUAAAUUAUAGUUCCUUUUCGGAAAAUAGAAAUAUAUUAGGUUUUUAAUCUUUUGUAUUUCGAUUUAAGUUUAUGAGAGUAUAAGGUAGUACUCAUCGAUACUUCGAAAUCAUAUUAGUAGAUUUUUCAUCGAUUUCGAAACACAGAACACCAAAGAAACGACAAUACUAAAUGAUUGAGAAAAUGGUUGAGGUUGGUAACAGAUGGAUGUUGGCUGAUCAUCACUUGCACUGUUGGGAUGUCUGUCUCUUCAGCCUGAAAAUAUCGUAUUUUCAAUUGAGCCGAUUGAGACUACCAGAUCCUUACAACCCCAUUGUUUGCAACUAUCAAAUCCUAAGCCUUCUUCUAUCCUCCCAUAAGAGUAGCCUGGUACCAAAACAUAUUACUGAAAGUUUAUCCAAAUCGCACAAAAUUGAAAUUUGACUCAAAAGAGCAGUCCUGUUUACAAGCACAUCGGUAAAUCUUGUGUGCUGGGAAAGGUCCGGAUCUGCCUUUCUUGAUGCAAUCCUUUUAACUCUUUGAGACAUUGCCGAUAUGGUGCUUUCUUGCUGAUAUGAUUUAAUGGGUUAAUUGGGCUGUUCAAAAGCAA
Gossypium raimondii (Peruvian cotton) is the source of this 842-nucleotide long non-coding RNA. RefSeq lists it as uncharacterized. The transcript is spliced from 2 exons. The record is from RefSeq and is a predicted model, not a curated record. NCBI's taxonomy places the organism in Eukaryota, Viridiplantae, Streptophyta, Magnoliopsida, Malvales, Malvaceae.